CCUACGGGUGGCAGCAGUGGGGAAUAUUGCGCAAUGGGCGAAAGCCUGACGCAGCGACGCCGCGUGAGGGAUGAAGGUCUUCGGAUCGUAAAACUCUGUUAGCAGGGAAGAACGGUCAAUGUGCUAAUCAGCAGUGCAUUGACGUUACCUGCAAAGGAAGCCCCGGCUAACUCCGUGCCAGCAGCCGCGGUAAUACGGAGGGUGCGAGCGUUAAUCGGAAUGACUGGGCGUAAAGCGCUCGUAGGCGGUAUGUCAAGUCUAGGGUGAAAUCCCCGCGCUCAACGUGGGAAUUGCCUUUGAAACUGGCAAACUUGAGUGUGUGAGAGGAUGGUGGAAUUCCAGGUGUAGGGGUGAAAUCCGUAGAUAUCUGGAAGAACAUCAGUGGCGAAGGCGGCUAUCUGGCACAUAACUGACGCUGAGGAGCGAAAGCGUGGGUAGCAAACAGGAUUAGAUACCCGGGUAGUC
RNAcentral lists this ribosomal RNA (465 nucleotides) under uncultured bacterium. Its description in RNAcentral is "partial 16S ribosomal RNA". It matches the Rfam family "Bacterial small subunit ribosomal RNA", at positions 338 to 795 of the family's 1533-position model. The record is from RNAcentral.